This 23-nucleotide non-coding RNA is filed under the name Mus musculus (house mouse). The record is from RNAcentral. Lineage: Eukaryota; Metazoa; Chordata; Mammalia; Rodentia; Muridae.
UACCUCCACGAGGAUGGUGAUAC